CUGCAGCCCGAGUGGUGAUCGAUUUUAUUGAGCCUAAAGCGUCCGUAGCCGGACUAGUAAACUCUUGGGUAAAUUGGGCAGCUUAACUGUCCAAAUUCCGAGAGGACUGCUAGUCUUGGGACCGGGAGAGGUCAGAGGUACUCCAGGGGUAGGGGCUAAAUCCGAUAUGCUUUCGUGGCAUUCGGUUAGCAAUCCUGUAAUCCUUUGGGGACCACCAGUGGCGAAGGCGUCUGACUAGAACGGAUCCGACGGUAAGGGACGAAACCCUGGGGCGCGAACCGGAUUAGAUACCCGAGUAGUCC
RNAcentral lists this ribosomal RNA (302 nucleotides) under uncultured archaeon. RNAcentral's name for it is "partial 16S ribosomal RNA". It matches the Rfam family "Archaeal small subunit ribosomal RNA", at positions 477 to 747 of the family's 1478-position model. The record is from RNAcentral.